Cyanistes caeruleus (blue tit) is the source of this 3117-nucleotide non-coding RNA. NCBI's taxonomy places the organism in Eukaryota, Metazoa, Chordata, Aves, Passeriformes, Paridae. The record is from RefSeq and is a predicted model, not a curated record.
UUUUUUUUUCUGUAAAAAAAGGGGGGACGAGGGGGAGGUCUGGGGUGCUGGUGAAGGACCCUUUUGCCUGCUCUCCUGGAGUUGGCGGGGAAGCUACCUAGCCUCGGUCCCGGUCCCCAGGGUCCCUGUUUCCCCCUCUGCUGUCCCGGAGCAGGUGCCGCCAGAAAAGCGCCGGCCCCACAGCCCUUUGAUGAGCUCGCAGCGCCGUCGGUCCGCAGCGCCCCUUUCUCAUGCUAAUGGCCCGCCGUGCUCUCUACGGCUUUCAAGACUAACAGAGAGGCUGACAGUGUCGUCCUCGCAAGGACAGAGCCCGGACGAGCAAUUCCUCCAAAACAGUCUGGGCCCUAAUAAACAAUCUGGUGGGACAUGCAGUAUAGCAUGGCCUCCUUCUCCUCCCAAAGUGUGGAUUCAUUAACCCGUCUCCUUGCUCAUCAUAUCCCCGUAGGGCUAAGAGACGAAUUACUGGAUCUGAAUUGGAAGGGAAUUGCUCUAUGAGGGGGCUAAUGUUUCAAUCAGUUCAUCCUGAAGGACCACACAAAAAGAAACUUUUUAGUUUAUGGUGCUAUUAUGCAGAGUUUUAAUCUAGGGAUAGAUUUAACCAAAUGUUAUCUAUUGGGAAUUUAAUGAAGCCCUUAUGUAUUCAAUCGUCUUUUAUGCCACACACAGUGUCUCUAUCCAGAAACGUUUCCUUCCGCAUAGUUCUUUGUUUCUGAUGGGUGAUUUAUAUAUUUUUAAUUAGGUUUUUAAAAAUUAUUUCUUUUCAAGCAUCUUGUAUAACGUUUCUUUUAAGCAGGACUGUGUUAGGUCCCUUCCCACAUCCCCUAUAAAAGAGGUUUCCUCUUCCCUCCCUGGUUUUGAAGAUGAUUAGUUUGCACGUCCACACACUUCUCCCCACUGGAGCGCUCUCUCUGCCUUGUGCAGAGGCCUUGGUCAUCGUGCCUGCUCUUUCGACACCUCCGUGGGCUGCGAUGGACAGGGUAGCCCGGGGGUCCGGCCGAGCCCCGUGACUCCCGUGCACAGCUCCCCGGCCUCCAAGCUGCUCUCAACACAAACCUUCCCCACCCGCACCUCAUUCGGACCACACCUUCGGUCUGGUUUGUAUUUUAGGUGCCGUGAGAAGCACUCCUGGGGUCACCGGGGAGCACAUCCCCUGCUUGCAGGCAGGUUUCAAAUACCCAGGACCGGCCCCAUCACCAAGUCUGGAAAAUGAAAGAGGGGGGCGAGGCCCUCACCUGCUCUCAGCUGCUCCCUUUCUUGCAGCGCUGGUGGCGCGGGCAGAGCACACGAUCACCCCCGUCGAGAUUGAGGCCUGUUUGGGGGAUCUGUGGGAAAGUGGAUCUGGUUUGACUGUCCCUUGGCACAGCCUGGAGACUCUACUCCGUAUGUAAUACUUUCCCUCAGUACUUACAGUAAGUACUGCAGUAGUUCUGAUAAUAUUGUAUUUGACAGAAAUAAUGGAAAUUAUGAUCGUGGCCAAACCGUCUCUGCUCUGCAACUUGAUAACCAAUGCAGAUCCAUUUUUCAGCUUGUUCACUGUGUCUCCCCCACCUGCAGUGGUAUUUCCCCUGCUUCCCUCGGCGAUGGGCUGCACGCACCAUCAGAACCCAGGCAGCGGCGGGGACCGGCUGCCCCGUGCCCACAGCUGGGUGCAUCCCGAUCAGUCCUUUCUCCUCUGCAACCCUCACCAUGAGAGUCACGUCGAGCAGCGGCCGUUGAGGUCUCUGUUCGCUGCCCCUUCCUGCGCUGCAAAGCACGACCCAGAUGUAGAGGAGACAUUCACGCACAAGUGUGUGUACGUGUAUGCAGGAGAAUGGCACUUCAGAAGGUAACCAGCUGCUGCCGGAUCCACGCUGCGGCAACAACUGUGCUCAGUGCCUCAUUGCACAGAUGGUGCCCGCCGAUUUUGGGGAAAGACGGAAAAAUUAACACGAGUUCCAAGUCGGUAAGCAUCUUGCUCUUGUUUUUAACUUGCGGAAGAACUCUGUUCCCCGCCGCCAGUCUCCGCCUGGAGGUGUACUGCGGGAGCCGGCCCUGGAAACACGCCGGCCCCUUCCCAGCUGCCUGUCUCGGCUCACCGCGCAGUUACCAGCACGACUGAAAACAGCAAAGGCAAAGGCUGCGGGAUUGGGAAGGCGCGCACGGGGAGCCCCUCGGCCAAGCUCACGACCAGCCCGGCUGACGCAGUGCGGGUGGCACCGAGGCCUGUGCGCGGCCGCGCAGCGGGGCAGAGCCUCCGCGGCUUCGGAGGUGCUCCGCCGAGCCCGAUCGUAGGAGCGGGAAGGCACCCGGCAGCGUGUCUGCGGGAAUCACCGCGGGAAGCCCACGGAAGAUGCAUAGCAUACGAAGAUGUGCCCUUAGUGCAGCUCCCCUGCUCCGCCAACUAUCUCAGUGAGAGACACAGAGGCACAGAGAGACCUAUCGGCUAGGCACCGUAAUGCCCAAAAUGAACAAAAACAUAUGGACUGCACUGGACGAAUGGCGCUUUUUUUUUUUUUUUUUUUUAAAGAGCGAUGUCUCAUCAAUUACAGAAAUUCUACCGCUCAGCUGAAUUCAGAAGGAAAUUUGUGGUUGCGGGUUUUUUAUUUUUCUAAUCAAAAUAAUUAAACUUGCCCUUCCUCCAAGCCACAGGAGACCUGUUGAAUUGAUUCUGUUUCCCUUUCGCUGAUGCAGUAAAACGGCAUGCAGAAAUCCGCGGGCCCCCAUAUUUAGAUGAUAGAUUAUGCAAUUUAUGUUAGAAGCAAAAGGAUAAUUAGAUAAUGCAGUUGUUGUAUUAAUUAAUUUCUUGAGACUGGGAAAGUCUUAAGACUUAUCUACGGUCAAUCCAAAGAUAUUUCUGUCCCCUGCGUGGAACAGGAAAACAUGUGAGUGCGUCGAAACGCUUGUGAACAUUGAAGAGUAUGUUCGCACCCGGUGAUAUCACCGUCCAGUGCCCGCACAACUGUAGCACAGCUGCGAUCAUCGCUCCUGCUAAUGCCCAGGCUUUGUCAAGUCCUCUUAAAACUCGUGAAUGUCUCUUCGUACCGCUGUGGUCGUAGGACUGCUUCUCUAGUUUCAUUGCAGGAGAUACAUGCGCACCUGUAUACACGAGAUACAUUAAAUACACACAAUCAAGAUUAA